Molecule: ribosomal RNA, 1290 nt
Filed under: Venustaconcha ellipsiformis
Lineage: Eukaryota; Metazoa; Mollusca; Bivalvia; Unionida; Unionidae
Description: 16S ribosomal RNA
Source: RNAcentral
AAACAUUAUUAUUUAGAUGAACUCUAUUAGUAUUUAUAAAAUUAUUUACCUGAGCCAGUAUUGCUUAACAACCUCACUCAAUUCACAUUAAACUCUGCAAAGGAUACAACCAAUUAACUAUAAGAAAAAGUAAACUCCUCUACCUCCUGCAUCAUGUGGUUGCAACAUACAACAAUCACUCCUGUUUCCCGAAAAAUGGAGAGCUACUAACAGCAACCAAGAUCAAUCUUAAUGUUUCAAUAUUAAGAAACAGCUAUUAGUAGCAGCAAAAUACCUUACGAGCCAUUUGAUAGCUGGUUGUUCCUAAAAGAUAUAUAAGUAUCCCCUUACAGAAGCUUUACGAAUAUACACCACCUGUAAUGGAAACUUAAAUGGGGACAAGCCCGUUUAAGCCCUAUAGAAGUAAAUUUAAACGACGAUAUCCAAAAAAGGACCUAAAAACAGCCAAAAAUAACCCGUUAAAGGGACGAACCUUAAAAUAACUCCAACCUAGUAAAUCAACUCCUUAAUUAACUAAGGAACCUUAUAAGAUUAACCUUAACCUAUAAUGAACCGGCAAUUAUUAGUAUCAAAUAAUUAGUAGUAUCGCAAAGAACAUAAUAUAAAUAGUACUUCAACAAAACUACCACGACAGUAAAGAAAUCGUAAGUAAUGAACUCGGCAAAUAAUCUCUCUGCCUGUUUACCAAAAACAUCGUCUUCUGAACUUACACCAGAUAAAAGAUACUGCCUGCCCAAUGACGUAGUUAAAUGGCCGCGUUAGCGUGAUCGUGCUAAGGUAGCGUAAUAAUUAGCUCCCUAAUUAGGAGCCAGUGAAUGGCAAGACAAAGAGAAACUCUAUCCCUUACGACCAGAAAAUUUUCCCAUUAAGUGAAAAGGCUUGAAUAAAAGAGAAAGACAAAAAGACCCCGCGGAACUCCCUGAACCUUUACCCCUAUACACAGAUAUUAAAGCUACCCAGGUUGGUUGGGGCAACCCUGGAACAACUUCAACUUCCAACUUAUACAAUAAAAUAUGAAAAACUUGAUAAGGACCACAAUUGCAGUUACCCCGGGGAUAACAGCGUAAUCCAACUUAAGAGUACGUGCAACUUGGCGCAGCCGCUAAGAUACCUGCCAGUCUGUUCGACUGCAAACACCCUACAUGAGCUGAGUUAAGACCGGCGAGAGCUAGGUUGGACUCUAUCUUCUCAGCAAAAAUCGUCUCUUUAUUGUACGAAAGGACCCAAAGAGCCACACAAUAAGUGCCAUUAAACCUCCUAAUUAACCAUCUAUUACCCAAUAGACAUAAU